UCAACGUGAUACGCAACAUUCCCAGGGCGGCGUUCCGAGACGCUCCUCUACUUGACACGCUGUUGUUAAACAACAACGUUCUAGAAUCCAUAGACGACGGUGCGUUUGAAGGCGUACGGGACCUCAGAUAUCUGUAUUUAUUCAAGAACAAUAUACGACGGAUUGAUGUUAAUGCAUUUAGACCCCUCCAUCGUUUAGAGCAAUUGUGAGUACUGUAUACCAAUUGCGUGUUCGUUGUUAAUUGAGC
Long non-coding RNA from Dreissena polymorpha, 247 nucleotides. RefSeq lists it as uncharacterized. The record is from RefSeq and is a predicted model, not a curated record. NCBI's taxonomy places the organism in Eukaryota, Metazoa, Mollusca, Bivalvia, Myida, Dreissenidae. The transcript is spliced from 3 exons.